This 971-nucleotide long non-coding RNA is filed under the name Columba livia (rock pigeon). Its description in RNAcentral is "partial uncharacterized LOC106145701". Lineage: Eukaryota; Metazoa; Chordata; Aves; Columbiformes; Columbidae. The record is from RNAcentral.
AAUGUCGCUGACCGCAAAGAGAUGUGGAAGGCCCCCGGUGUUGUCUUUUCUGGAAAAGAAAAAGAGAAAGCAAAGCCUUGAUAGAAGAAGGGGGAAAACAAGGAUUUACGUGGGAAAUCACAUUGACCGAUGGUUGACGCUUAAAGAAAAGCUGGAUUUCAGAAAUGAUGCAGAAGUUGCGGGGUUUUUACUGGACUUGUAUGACAGCUGUGGGCCGUUGUCAAAAGCUGCCAUCGGUUCCCACCCUGAGAGUGUGAGAAGAAUUAACGUGAAGGAAGAAAGAGCAUUGUCAGGCAGCACUUCUUUGAUAGCAGCUGAUGGAACGUAUGACAAUGAUGACCAGUUGUCUAAAGAAUCUGCUUGUUCUGAACUUGGAGAUGUGAGAAUUGUAACUGUGAAAGAAGAAAGAGAGAUGCUGCACGACUGCUUGUCAACAGGGACAGAUGACACUGCCGUGCUCAGCGAGGCAGCCACACCGUCAGUCGACUGCUGAUUGUUUUACUGCAGUGUCAUCACUAACUGGGGCAUUCACAGUUGAGAUCAGAGGAGCCUCAAAUAGGGCGACACUGCGAACCUAGGACAUUUCUUUGGCACUGCAUGGUGUGUCCAAACCCCUCGCUAACAUGGUGAAUAGGUGAGCAGCUUGGGGUUCUGAAAGUAAUUCCACGGCACAGAAGAAUUCUUGGAAGCUAGGUCAGGAGAAAAUAAGUACCAUUGAUGAUGAAGCUGUCAAAUUCAAGGACCUUCUUCAAAAUAUCAUGUUUCUCUGGCAAAUAAUUUUAGUAUGGAGUGCAACGAUAAUUGAAUUCCUGGGACUGAUUUGAUACAGGGUGACCAGCCAGAAGAAAAUCAGGCUCUUGCAUAACACUUUUGGGGCAGUUUUUGGUCCAUUUUGAUUUUGCUGUGAGGUUAUUGUGAAGUAUAAAGAAUUACUGUAAGUCCUAGUAUGAAAAUUGAUGUUGCUUGUUGAA